Molecule: ribosomal RNA, 358 nt
Filed under: uncultured Fusibacter sp.
Lineage: Bacteria; Bacillati; Bacillota; Clostridia; Eubacteriales; Fusibacteraceae
Description: bacterial SSU rRNA
Rfam family: Bacterial small subunit ribosomal RNA
Source: RNAcentral
AAUUGAGACAGGUGGUGCAUGGUUGUCGUCAGCUCGUGUCGUGAGAUGUUGGGUUAAGUCCCGCAACGAGCGCAACCCUUGUGUUUAGUUGCAAACAGGUCAAGCUGUGCACUCUAGACAGACUGCCGUGGACAACACGGAGGAAGGUGGGGAGUGACGUCAAAUCAUCAUGCCCCUUAUGAUCUGGGCUACACACGUGCUACAAUGGCCGGCACAACGGGAAGCGAGUUCGCGAGGACGAGCGGAUCCCUCAAAGCCGGUCGCAGUUCGGAUUGAAGUCUGCAACUCGACUUCAUGAAGCUGGAAUCGCUAGUAAUCGUGGAUCAGCCAAGCCGCGGUGAAUACGUUCCCGGGCCUU